RNAcentral lists this transfer RNA (85 nucleotides) under Felis catus (domestic cat). It matches the Rfam family "tRNA". From Rfam's summary of the family: Transfer RNA (tRNA) molecules are approximately 80 nucleotides in length. Their secondary structure includes four short double-helical elements and three loops (D, anti-codon, and T loops). Lineage: Eukaryota; Metazoa; Chordata; Mammalia; Carnivora; Felidae. The record is from Rfam by way of RNAcentral. RNAcentral also lists the same sequence under 1 other name.
GCCUGGGUGGCUCAGUCGGUUAAGCGUCCGACUUCAGCUCAGGUCAUGAUCUCGCGGUUUGUGGGUUCGAGCCCCACGUCAGGCU